CUAUUAUCGCUUGCUGCACCCCAUGGUAACAAUAAAUGUUCCUGCGCUCAAAUCCCUAGCGACUCCUCUUCCUUCUCUCCUUCUGCGUCCCCCAAGCACCUCACCCAUUAGCCAUGCCGCCGCGAGCGUUGAAGGGGCAGAAAUAGUGUUGUUAGUGAGAUACCUUGGUGGUAUUGAAAUUAAAUUUGUCUAUCAAGGGGAAUAACUGAUUGUUGUUGCGUGGAAUAGGUGACUGAAAAAGACAAGACAGAGUGAGAAAGGGAAUGGAGAAGAAGAUCACUUUGGUUCAGACUAUUGCCACUGCUGGCGUCUUCUCUGCCAUUUCAUUCUGGUAUGGGUUCAUGUUUGGCAGAGAGUCAUCGCGCAAAGAACUCUCUGACCUAAUCCAAGAUCUCCGUCACGGUGGCGGAAACCCUCCCUCUUCCUCUUCCUCCCAUUCUUAAUCCAACUUUCUCUUUCUCUUUCAAUUUCUUUAACAUCGUUACUUACACUAUAAUAUGUCUCUUCCAAACCCCACCCAUUUCCUUUUUCCCUAACAAUUUUGUAAUCUGGAAGUUGAGGUUGCUUCUCAACUCUUUAGCUCGAUCAAUGCAGCUUCCUUGUAUUAUGGUUUUGAAUUAUCUCAUUUUCAGAGAAUCAGGUAGAAAAACUAAUGCCCGGAUUGUAAUUUUUAUUAAACCUCUUUGGCUCACUAAUAUUGUCUUAAUCGGCAAAUGUUAGUUGUUAAUGGUUAGUUUUUUUUUUUUGUUAGUGGGAGAAUCGAAUCCAUUACCUUUCUCUCCCUCGCAUCUCCAUUUACCACCAAACCAAUCUUAUAACUCCAGCUUAGUGAUAAUUUGAUAGGGUUGUUUACCUAAUUGUUGCUUCAUGUACUCUUUUUUCUGUUGUUGGUUUUCAUGGAUUCUAUCCUAAUGUGGUUGCAUUGCA
Molecule: long non-coding RNA, 927 nt
Organism: Glycine soja
Lineage: Eukaryota; Viridiplantae; Streptophyta; Magnoliopsida; Fabales; Fabaceae
Exons: 4
Source: RefSeq, a predicted model, not a curated record